GGCGAUCAGAUACCGCCCUAGUUCUGACCGUAAACGAUGCCAACUAGCGAUCCGCCGAUGGAGAUUAUAUUGCCUUGGUGGGGAGCUUCCCGGAAACGAAAGUCUUCCGGUUCCGGGGGAAGUAUGGUUGCAAAGCUGAAACUUAAAGGAAUUGACGGAAGGGCACCACCAGGAGUGGAGCCUGCGGCUUAAUUUGACUCAACACGGGGAAACUCACCCGGCCCGGACACUGUGAGGAUUGACAGAUUGAUAGCUUUUUCAUGAUUCAGUGGAUGGUGGUGCAUGGCCGUUCUUAGUUCGUGGAGUGAUUUGUCUGGUUUAUUCCGAUAACGAGCGAGACUCUAACCUACUAAAUAGCUGAUACAUGUUUAUGUGUAUUCGGCUUCUUAGAGGGAUUUGCGGUGUUCAGCCGAAAGAAAUUGAGCAAUAACAGGUCUGUGAUGCCCUUAGAUGUCCGGGGCUGCACGCGCGCUACACUGGCAAAAUCAACGUGCUUGUCCUGCCCCGAAAGGGGUGGGUAAACCAUUGAAAAUUUGCCGUGAUUGGGAUCGGAAAUUGCAAUUAUUUUCCGUGAACGAGGAAUUCCAAGUAAGUGCGAGUCAUCAGCUCGCGUUGAUUACGUCCCUGCCCUUUGUA
This 636-nucleotide ribosomal RNA is filed under the name Meloidogyne cf. graminis TSH-2004. RNAcentral describes it as "SSU rRNA". It matches the Rfam family "Eukaryotic small subunit ribosomal RNA", at positions 1003 to 1664 of the family's 1831-position model. Lineage: Eukaryota; Metazoa; Nematoda; Chromadorea; Rhabditida; Meloidogynidae. The record is from RNAcentral.